GCUCCGGUUGUGUCCCGGUUAAGCUUGCGAAGGACCAGGCAUAGCGGCCUUUCGAGCCGCCGACGCGGGUCCGAAUCCCGCCCGGAGCA
This 89-nucleotide transfer RNA is filed under the name Thermoproteota archaeon. Its description in RNAcentral is "tRNA-Glu". RNAcentral also lists the same sequence under 1 other name. Lineage: Archaea; Thermoproteati; Thermoproteota. The record is from RNAcentral.